AGUUAAUAAGUUUUAAAAAACAUAUAUUUUGAAAAUAUAAGAAAGAAGUUUAAAUCUUCUAUUGACUU
RNAcentral lists this transfer RNA (68 nucleotides) under Micadina brachyptera. Its description in RNAcentral is "tRNA-Ser". It matches the Rfam family "tRNA". Rfam says of the family: Transfer RNA (tRNA) molecules are approximately 80 nucleotides in length. Their secondary structure includes four short double-helical elements and three loops (D, anti-codon, and T loops). Lineage: Eukaryota; Metazoa; Arthropoda; Insecta; Phasmatodea; Lonchodidae. The record is from RNAcentral.